Molecule: small nuclear RNA, 44 nt
Filed under: Cervus elaphus hippelaphus
Lineage: Eukaryota; Metazoa; Chordata; Mammalia; Artiodactyla; Cervidae
Source: RNAcentral
GUGCUUGCUUCGGCAGCACAUAUACUGAAUAUUCAUUGGAAGGA